Molecule: long non-coding RNA, 760 nt
Filed under: Homo sapiens (human)
Lineage: Eukaryota; Metazoa; Chordata; Mammalia; Primates; Hominidae
Description: signaling receptor and transporter of retinol STRA6 (ENSG00000288257.1)
Source: RNAcentral
GAGGGGACACGAGAGGCCCUGUCCUCUUCCCGUGCCAGCUUGCUCAGGCCCUCAGUCCCAGACGGGCUUUUCCCAGAGAGCUAAAAUGGCUUUUUUUUUCUCUCGCCUGGGGUCAAAGGAGAAGGGCCAGAGAAUGUCGUCCCAGCCAGCAGGGAACCAGACCUCCCCCGGGGCCACAGAGGACUACUCCUAUGGCAGCUGGUACAUCGAUGAGCCCCAGGGGGGCGAGGAGCUCCAGCCAGAGGGGGGGGCCUGACGCAGGCCUGAGCCAGCCUUCAUUUGCUCUGCAGGGAAGUGCCCUCCUGCCACACCAGCAUACCACCCGGCCUGUACCACGCCUGCCUGGCCUCGCUGUCAAUCCUUGUGCUGCUGCUCCUGGCCAUGCUGGUGAGGCGCCGCCAGCUCUGGCCUGACUGUGUGCGUGGCAGGCCCGGCCUGCCCAGAAAGUGGGACUGACUCCACCUCCUUGAUUUAUGGAAUACAGCUGGGAGGUAAUGGGGGUGCAGGGGCUGAGCAACUCCCUCCUGCCCUGUCCUUGCCUCUGUGCUAGCCCUGUGGAUUUCUUGGCUGGGGACAGGCCCCGGGCAGUGCCUGCUGCUGUUUUCAUGGUCCUCCUGAGCUCCCUGUGUUUGCUGCUCCCCGACGAGGACGCAUUGCCCUUCCUGACUCUCGCCUCAGCACCCAGCCAAGAUGGGAAAACUGAGGCUCCAAGAGGGGCCUGGAAGAUACUGGGACUGUUCUAUUAUGCUGCCCUCUACUA